AUUGAACGCUGGCGGCAGGCCUAACACAUGCAAGUCGAACGCGUGGGGGAGGGGUGAGUAGUGUCGGGGACAGUGCCUGGGGGGGGGGGAAAACUACUGGAAAGUAUCGAUAAUACCGCAUACCAGAGGAUGCCCCCAGAGGGGAUUAGCUAGUAGGUGGGAGAACGGCUCACCUAGGCGACGAUCCCUAGCUGGUCUGAGAGGAUGACCAGCCACACUGGAACUGAGACACGGUCCAGACUCCUACGGGAGGCAGCAGUGGGGAAUAUUGCACAAUGGGCGCAAGCCUGAUGCAGCCAUGCCGCGUGUGUGAAGAAGGCCUUCGGGUUGUAAAGCACUUUCAGCGGGGAGGCGUUACCCGCAGAAGAAGCACCGGCUAACUCCGUGCCAGCAGCCGCGGUAAUAC
RNAcentral lists this ribosomal RNA (406 nucleotides) under uncultured bacterium. RNAcentral's name for it is "partial 16S ribosomal RNA". It matches the Rfam family "Bacterial small subunit ribosomal RNA", at positions 29 to 526 of the family's 1533-position model. The record is from RNAcentral.